RNAcentral lists this long non-coding RNA (314 nucleotides) under Capsicum annuum. Its description in RNAcentral is "long non-coding RNA (CANN_LNC005372)". Lineage: Eukaryota; Viridiplantae; Streptophyta; Magnoliopsida; Solanales; Solanaceae. The record is from RNAcentral.
CAUGUACACCCUUAACACCGACCUAGUUGAAUCACUUAGAUAAGCACGCAACCGAACCUGAUCGGUUAUCUUGAAAAGCAGUACCCUCCGAUUUUCAAAGGAGUUGUGCAUGUAGCUGAUGGCGAGUUCUUCCGAUUGACAAUUCAGUCCACAAAAGCUGAUGAUUAAGUUCAUAAAAUCAUCAUACGAAACAUCACUUUGGACUAUCAUAGCUAUCAUCUCUAGCAUUUCACCCUUCUUCCAACGCCAUACAUAUCGAUUACUCUUCUCGACCCAUUGACCAUGACAAUCCACCCCUAUUGUUAUUGAUCCAU